UGCGGGGCUCGAUCCCAGGACCCUGGGAUCAUGACCUGAGCUGAAGGCGGACGCUUAACGACUGAGCCACCCAGGCGCCCUUCAUCAGCUAUCUCUUGGACUCAAUGUAUAACCUUGAGGUGCUGGGGCUAGGCGAGACCCACAAUUUGAACCUGAGCUCUGGAAUUCUGCUCUCUGUUGCAUGGGCAAGAGAAGCUACUCAGUGGGAUGAGGAAGCAGAAGUGAAUUUCCAGAUGCUUUGUUCUGCCUUCCUCACAGAAUCCACAUUAUACAUUUGCUUACUAAAAACAUCUGGUGCCCAACUGGAGAACCAGCGUCCCGCUCGGAUUAACCAAUAGCCAAAAAUGAAAAUUUGUUACAGUUGCUGAUACAUGUGCCUCUGGAAACCUAUAAUAAUUUUGUAACAUAAACCCACAGAAUCAAGCAGAGUUGUACACACUGGAAAACAAACAGAAGGUUUUCAAGUGACCUAGACUUGAAAAAUUUCAAUGUGGUGAAAGAAAGCAAGGUAGGGUAAGGUGGCAGGACUGUUUCAGGUAAAAAGAGG
This is a long non-coding RNA of Callorhinus ursinus (northern fur seal), 547 nucleotides long. RefSeq lists it as uncharacterized. The record is from RefSeq and is a predicted model, not a curated record. NCBI's taxonomy places the organism in Eukaryota, Metazoa, Chordata, Mammalia, Carnivora, Otariidae.